This 253-nucleotide ribosomal RNA is filed under the name uncultured bacterium. RNAcentral's name for it is "partial 16S ribosomal RNA". It matches the Rfam family "Bacterial small subunit ribosomal RNA", at positions 524 to 776 of the family's 1533-position model. The record is from RNAcentral.
UACGGGGGGAGCAAGCGUUGUUCGGAUUUACUGGGCGUAAAGGGCGCGUAGGCGGCGCAACAAGUCACUUGUGAAAUCUCCGGGCUUAACUCGGAACGGCCAAGUGAAACUGUCAUGCUAGAGUGCAGAAGGGGCAAUCGGAAUUCUUGGUGUAGCGGUGAAAUGCGUAGAUAUCAAGAGGAACACCUGAGGUGAAGACGGCAUCCUGGACCAACACUGACGCUGAGGAGCGAAAGCCAGGGGAGCAAACGGG